Molecule: long non-coding RNA, 545 nt
Organism: Pangasianodon hypophthalmus (striped catfish)
Lineage: Eukaryota; Metazoa; Chordata; Actinopteri; Siluriformes; Pangasiidae
Exons: 2
Source: RefSeq, a predicted model, not a curated record
UGUGAAGGAGGUUUUUGUACGAUGGCUUCAUUAGAAUGUAACACUGUGGUGGGCUUUUGGUGGAGGCACCAGAAUCAUUGUGAACAAGGGUCCCUCCGUGUCUCUGCUCCCUCCGUCUCCUCUGCAGCUGUCUGAGGGAUCGGCCUCGCUGCUCUGCCUGCUGUCUGGCUACUCUCCACAGGGGGCGCUGGUGAGCUGGACAGUGGACGGCUCAGAGGUGAAGAACGGGGUUCUGACCAGUGCAGAAGAAGAGAAGAAGGGCGGUUACACACGCAGCAGUACCCUGACCCUCAGCAAAGCAGUCUGGGAAAAGGCAGAGGAGUUUGUCUGUAAGGUCUCCCAUAAAGGCAUCAAUUAUCCGGUCAACUUCAGAAAGAGUCAGUGUGAAGGCUAGUGGCUCCAAGAUAGAUUUUAACAUAGAGCUGCUUAUGAUCCAUCUACAAUAGAGUUUCAAUUCUACACAAUGCUGCCAUUUCUGUCUUUACUCUGUUCACUGUCCUGUUGAUCUUCCUGUAGUUUUUGCUGAAAUAAAGCUGAAUUUUGGA